This 877-nucleotide ribosomal RNA is filed under the name Amphisorus hemprichii. Its description in RNAcentral is "SSU rRNA". It matches the Rfam family "Eukaryotic small subunit ribosomal RNA", at positions 1129 to 1801 of the family's 1831-position model. The record is from RNAcentral. Lineage: Eukaryota; Foraminifera; Miliolida; Soritidae.
ACGCAAGUGUGAAACUUGAAGGAAUUGACGGAAGGGCACCACAAGAACGCGUGGAGCAUGUGGCUUAAUUUGACUCAACCCGGGAAAUCUUACCAGGUCCAGACAUAUUGAGGAUUGACAGGCGAUAAUCAACAAACAUAUCAUAUGUAUGUUGGUAUAAAAAUGAUAGUCCUUUCAUGAUUAUAUGAUAGGUGGUGCAUGGCCGUUCUUAGUUCGUGGAGUGAUUUGUCUGCUUAAUUGCGUUUCAGUAAAUAAAAUAUAUAUAAUGUAUUAAUAUUUUAGUUCUGCCAUUUUUAAUGGAUUUAAAGUGAACAAUAUUAUACAUAUAUAUUAAUAUAUGAAUGCAACGAACGUGACCGUAACCUUUUAUUGCUAUUAUAAUAUAUUAUAGCAUAAAAUUAAAGGAACCGCUGUCAUUAUUAUAUGUGUUAAAAUAGAGUAAGAAUACGGCAAUAACAGGUCUGUGAUGCCCUCAGAUGUUCUGGGCUGCACACGUGCUACAAUAAUUACAUUAAUAAGUAUAUAUAAUAAAUAUUUAUAUACAUUUAAUGUAUAAUAAUAUUGUAAAACCUAUUUCGAAAGUAAAUCGGUAAUCAUUUAAAAAUCGUAAUAAAUAAUAAUAUAUAUACAUAAUUGUAUAUUUAAUUAAUUUAAGGUGGGGAUAGUGUAUUGUUAAUUAUUACACUUGGCCUUAACUAGGAAUGCCUUGUACUCUUCUUUGGUUUAACAUACCAAGAGGAAUACGUCCCUGCCCUUUGUACACACCGCCCGUCGCUCUUACCGAUGAAUUAUAUUAUAAAUCUAAGGGACUUAUAUAUUUAUUUUAGGAAACUUAUAUACAUAAUAGAUUUAAAGGAAAGAGAAGUCGAACAAGGCA